AGUGUGUGCAAGUGUAGUCAUGGCUGUCUGACAAAACAUUCGAAAUAACAAGAAUUUAUAUAGUAGUUGGUUAUCAAAAGUAUCAUGUCGAGUUUCUUACGAAGAACAAUACUGUCCUGAUUUAAAUUCCGAAGAGUUUAUUAGUGACAUAGUAAUAAAGCCUCCAUUCAAAUCUAUGUACAUCGAGGUGUACUUUGUAGAUAUUGUUGAGAAUAAUAAUAAAUAAGUGGAUAGCAAUUGUGGAUCAGGAAGGAAGUACGGAGUUCAAGGCGCAGUGAGCGUGAACCUACAAGGUUCUCUUCUGAAAUCUUGUUAAACGAACGUCGCGUCUAACGACCACCGACGAUCGAUUACGCAAGAUGACCAUUCUGUCGAAGAAGAAGACGAACGCCUCAAAAGAUAGACGAGAAGGAGGCAGCACUUCCGAAGUCGAUGUUCACGGAGUGCAAAACGAGCAUAGCUCCGGAUCCAUCGCACUACCUAAUAGCCCAUAUCAGGUACGUGCAGCGAACGGUUUCGCGGUCGAUCUACACGGGGUACAGACCGAUCACGGAUCUGGUUCUAUCGUUCUUACAGGAAACUCGUACGAGUCAAGUGUAGAUCGUCGAGAAGAUAAGCAUUUUGAAGAAGGAAGUGGUCCCAGUCAUGGUAAACGUCACAGGCAACGAGCAAGUCCACACAGUGGUUGCAUUGGAAGAAAUUCACGUUCAAAACGUGAAAGAGAAAGAGAUAGGGGUCGAGAAAGAGAUAGAGAAAGAGAAAGAGAACACGAACGACAAGCUACACCUCCUACUGCUUCUUGCAGUGGCUUACAAGCUACAGAUGGUGGUGUCAUAGCCACCAAUCGAAUGGCUAUUGGAGCUACUGCAAAUUUAGAACAUGAAUCAGCUAAUGGUUAUAAUAGUGGUGAUGAAUAUACUGGCAGAACUGGAAAUAAUCUUACAUUAGCUGAGUGGCAAGAGCGUGAUAGGUGGUUUGAGAAACGAAUGCGGAAAAUGGGAUUUAUUGUCAAAAAGAUGGGUGAAGAUGGAGCAUGUCUAUUUAGAGCUGUUGCAGAUCAAGUUUAUGGUGAUCAAGAAAUGCAUGGUGUAGUACGGAAACAUUGCAUGGAUUAUAUUGCAUCCAAUCAGGAGUUUUUUUCUCACUUUGUAGCAGAAGAUUUUAGCACAUAUGUAGAUAGGAAACGACAAGAAUAUGUACAUGGAAAUCAUAUAGAGAUGCAAGCAAUGUCUGAAAUGUAUAAUCGUAGCAUUCAAUUAUAUUGCUACAGUACUGAACCAAUUAAUAUUUUCCGUACAAUGGUUGAAAGUGAUAAUGAACCUAUACGAUUGUCUUAUCAACGUGGUAGCCAUUAUAAUAGCAUAGUAGAUCCAUAUAAAGCUACAAUUGGUGUUGGUCUUGGCCUACCGUCAUACAACCCCGGAGCCGCAGAUCGGCAACUUAUAUCAGAUGCAGUACGUCAAAGUGAAGAAUUGCAUAUUGAACAGACAAUGUUAGAAGAUAAAAUAAAAGCAACUGACUGGGAAGCAACAAAUGAAGCCAUAGAAGAACAAGUUGCCAGGGAGAGUUAUUUGCAAUGGUUAAGGGAUAAUGAGAUGCGAAAAGCUCGAUCAGCCAGUAGCAGCAGUACAAGUACGGUAACAAGUGCGCAACACAGUCACGCGCAUUUUCACCCUCACGGAGGUCGUGGUCAACAACGUAGCCACACUUCUUCUCCGACCACGACUCAAACUAGCCAAGAUAAUUUGCGUAAUUCUCCAAAAAUAAACGAUUCGGUGAGGUACAAUAAAAGAUCUCCGCAACACCAGUCAGCCCAAGGAUCUAGUAUGUCUCAUCUUGCUUCAGACUUUGAAUCGAAAAUUUCUCAAGAACCUGUGCCAGGUAGCAGUAAAGAGGUUCAUGCUUCUCCGGACAUCUCGUUAUUCAAUCGUCUUCCUCCUGAAGUAUUUGGUUUAACUGAUUGGGAAGACAGUGAUAUACUCACACAAGUUCUAGCUACAUCACAGCAAGAAUACUUGGACAGCUUAAAACAAUCACGGAGUUCUACCUCCUCUGGAAAUGAUACUAAUAAUAUAUUAGAUUCCAGUAAUAGUUAAUUUUUAAAAUUGUUAUUGAUAAAGUUCAAAGAAAUACUGAAGCUAAAGUAUAUGCAUUUGUAUGCAGCGUUUUUCAUAGGAUGUGAUAUAUCCGAAAAAUAAGAUAGUUGUAAAUCAAAAAAUGAAGCAAUUCUUAGUGUUAUCACAUGGUCAUUAGUCACUGAGAGACAUUGAUAGUUAUGUUGAAUGCAUGCCUAAUAAACUUAAUUAUCGGCAGCAAACCGUGUCACAUUGAUUUAUAUUAAGAUCAUCAGUACGUCAAAACUGAUUCGAGCUGAGAUAUAUACCGAAUUUCUAAAGAAACGGUUGGAUUUAGCACAAGAACAGUAUAAAACAUCAAUACCCC
RNAcentral lists this unclassified non-coding RNA (2442 nucleotides) under Eufriesea mexicana. Its description in RNAcentral is "oTU domain-containing protein 5-B, transcript variant X3". The record is from RNAcentral. Lineage: Eukaryota; Metazoa; Arthropoda; Insecta; Hymenoptera; Apidae.